This is a non-coding RNA of Peromyscus maniculatus bairdii (prairie deer mouse), 1159 nucleotides long. The record is from RefSeq and is a predicted model, not a curated record. NCBI's taxonomy places the organism in Eukaryota, Metazoa, Chordata, Mammalia, Rodentia, Cricetidae.
UAGGCGCCCACACAGUAUCUAUUCUUUCUUCCUCCUUACUGACAAAACAGUUGUUGGCUAUGCCAACAGGCCCUGCCUGUUUAAAACACAUCGCUGCUAUCCCUGAGCAGAGAGACAACUGUGACCAAUGAAAUGUAAGUGAGGUCCAGGGACCAUCACAGAAGAUGAAACAGAAAGAUGGCAGGAGCCAGAGGUUGGGGAGGACGGCGCAGAAGAAUCUUCAGGACGAGAUGGGACGGCGGCACUCUUGACUUGAAGCAGCUGUGGUUGCCUACACAAGAUUAAGACAGUCACAGCACAGAGGGGGAGGGGCUUGCAAGCAGGGAGACCUUACAGCUCAUAUCACGGACCACACAAUCCUCUCAAAACUGUGCCCUGCAGGUGCCAUGUGAAAUGUGUGUGUGAACAUAGCCCAACACCCAAGCACAGCCCGUAUUCUACGAUAGUCCAUGUACGGAGCAGGCAGCUGGCUGCGCUGGGCUCUUCAGCCAUUAUUUGCUCAUCCCCAGUUUCUGACCUGCUGCUUAUAUGUGACGCUGUUUCCACACCACUCAUGCUGAUGGAUCUGUUUGCUCUGGGGACUGACGGGACGAUAUGUACACAAGCAACUGGGCACAGAACACGACACACAGGUGCUCAACAUGGGUGUGCUCACUUUAAUGCUCAAGUUGGUAUCCACCUUGGCUUUUUUUUUUUUCAGAACUUGGCUCCUUGUUAGUGUAAGUUGGCCAUCUGUGUUCCACACCCAUCAUUUCUACGCCACUAGUAUUUACUCCUCUGAUUCCCCCUCACCUAACAGUGAGGUUGCUUCUGACGUGGGAAUCAGGGUCUAAAGUCAGUGUGCAAUGAGUAUUUGAUACCAACCACUGUGCCAUGACAGCAUUCCUUCAUUUGAGCAAAACAAACAAAUACACAAACGAAGACAACUGGGGCUGGAGAGACGGCUCAGUGGUUAAGAGCACCAGCAGCUCCUCCAGUGGGCCUGGGUUAGAUUCCCAGCACUGACAUGGUGACUCAAGAUGGUCUGCAGCUCUAGUUCCAGAGCAUCCUAUGCCCUCUUCUGGGUUCCACAGGCACUGCACACGUGUGGUGCACAGACAUCCAUGCAGGUAAACAGCCAUACAUAUGAAAUGAAAUAAUAAAAAGACAUUUGUUUGUA